CCUACGAGCGGCAGCAGUGAGGAAUAUUGGUCAAUGGUCGGGAGACUGCACCAGCCAAGCCGCGUGAGGGAGGAAGGUACAGAGUAUCGUAAACCUCUUUUGUCAGGGCACAAAGACUGGGACGCGUCCCCGGAUGAGUGUACCUGAAGAAAAAGCAUCGGCUAACUCCGUGCCAGGCGCCGCGGUAAUACGGAGGAUGCGAGCGUUAUCCGGAUUUAUUGGGUUUAAAGGGUGCGCAGGCGGUCUGUUAAGUAAGCGGUCAAUGCCCGGGGAUCAACCCCGGCCCGCCGUUGAAACUGGCAGUCUCGAGUUGGAGAGAAGUAUGCGGAAUGCGCGGUGUAGCGGUGAAAUGCAUAGAUAUCGCGCAGAACUCCGAUUGCGAAGGCAGCAUGCCGGCUCCACACUGACGCUGAGGCACGAAAGCGUGGGUAUCGAACAGGAUUAGAUACCCUAGUAGUC
RNAcentral lists this ribosomal RNA (459 nucleotides) under uncultured bacterium. RNAcentral's name for it is "partial 16S ribosomal RNA". It matches the Rfam family "Bacterial small subunit ribosomal RNA", at positions 338 to 795 of the family's 1533-position model. The record is from RNAcentral.